UGAGGAAUAUUGGUCAAUGGGCGGAAGCCUGAACCAGCCAAGUAGCGUGAAGGAUGACUGCCCUAUGGGUUGUAAACUUCUUUUAUAGGGGAAUAAAAUGAGCCACGUGUGGCUUUUUGUAUGUACCCUAUGAAUAAGGAUCGGCUAACUCCGUGCCAGCAGCCGCGGUAAUACGGAGGAUCCGAGCGUUAUCCGGAUUUAUUGGGUUUAAAGGGAGCGUAGGUGGACAUGUAAGUCAGUUGUGAAAGUUUGCGGCUCAACCGUAAAAUUGCAGUUGAUACUGUGUGUCUUGAGUACAGUAGAGGUGGGCGGAAUUCGUGGUGUAGCGGUGAAAUGCUUAGAUAUCACGAAGAACUCCGAUUGCGAAGGCAGCUCACUGGACUGUUACUGACACUGAGGCUCGAAAGUGUGGGUAUCAAACAGGAUUAGAUACCCUGGUAGUCCACACAGUAAACGAUGAAUACUCGCUGUUUGCGAUAUACAGCAAGCGGCCAAGCGAAAGCAUUAAGUAUUCCACCUGGGGAGUACGCCGGCAACGGUGAAACUCAAAGGAAUUGACGGGGGCCCGCACAAGCGGAGGAACAUGUGGUUUAAUUCGAUGAUACGCGAGGAACCUUACCCGGGCUUAAAUUGCAUUUGAAUGUUGGGGAAACCCAACAGCCGUAAGGCAAAUGUGAAGGUGCUGCAUGGUUGUCGUCAGCUCGUGCCGUGAGGUGUCGGCUUAAGUGCCAUAACGAGCGCAACCCUUAUCUUUAGUUACUAACAGGUUAUGCUGAGGACUCUAGAGAGACUGCCGUCGUAAGAUGUGAGGAAGGUGGGGAUGACGUCAAAUCAGCACGGCCCUUACGUCCGGGGCUACACACGUGUUACAAUGGGGGGUACAGAAGGCAGCUACCUGGUGACAGGAUGCUAAUCCCAAAAGCCUCUCUCAGUUCGGAUCGAAGUCUGCAACCCGACUUCGUGAAGCUGGAUUCGCUAGUAAUCGCGCAUCAGCCACGGCGCGGUGAAUACGUUCCC
RNAcentral lists this ribosomal RNA (1017 nucleotides) under uncultured bacterium. RNAcentral's name for it is "bacterial SSU rRNA". It matches the Rfam family "Bacterial small subunit ribosomal RNA", at positions 355 to 1375 of the family's 1533-position model. The record is from RNAcentral.